Molecule: unclassified non-coding RNA, 332 nt
Filed under: soil metagenome
Description: partial contains 5.8S ribosomal RNA, internal transcribed spacer 2, and large subunit ribosomal RNA
Rfam family: 5.8S ribosomal RNA (bases 1-120)
Source: RNAcentral
GAUGAAGAACGCAGCAAAAUGCGAUAAGUAAUGUGAAUUGCAGAAUUCAGUGAAUCAUCGAAUCUUUGAACACACAUUGCGCCCGCCAGUAUUCUGGCGGGCAUGCCUGUUCGAGCGUCAUUUCAACCCUCAAGCACAGCUUGGUGUUGGGACUCGCGUUAAUUCGCGUUCCUCAAAUUGAUUGGCGGUCACGUCGAGCUUCCAUAGCGUAGUAGUAAAACCCUCGUUACUGGUAAUCGUCGCGGCCACGCCGUUAAACCCCAACUUCUGAAUGUUGACCUCGGAUCAGGUAGGAAUACCCGCUGAACUUAAGCAUAUCAAUAAGCGGAGGA